Molecule: ribosomal RNA, 497 nt
Filed under: uncultured bacterium
Lineage: Bacteria
Description: partial 16S ribosomal RNA
Rfam family: Bacterial small subunit ribosomal RNA
Source: RNAcentral
GAUGAACGCUGGCGGCGUGCCUAAUACAUGCAAGUCGAGCGAACAGAUGAGGAGCUUGCUCCUCUGACGUUAGCGGCGGACGGGUGAGUAACACGUGGAUAACCUACCUAUAAGACUGGGAUAACUACGGGAAACCGGAGCUAAUACCGGAUAAUAUAUUGAACCGCAUGGUUCAAUAGUGAAAGACGGUUUUGCUGUCACUUAUAUAUGGAUCCGCGCCGCAUUAGCUAGUUGGUAAGUUAACGGCUUACCAAGGCAACGAUGCGUAGCCGACCUGAGAGGGUGAUCGGCCACACUGGAACGGAGACACGGUCCAGACUCCUACGGGAGGCAGCAGUAGGGAAUCUUCCGCAAUGGGCGAAAGCCUGACGGAGCAACGCCGCGUGAGUGAUGAAGGUCUUCGGAUCGUAAAACUCUGUUAUUAGGGAAGAACAAAUGUGUAAGUAACUAUGCACGUCUUGACGGUACCUAAUCAGAAAGCCACGGCUAACUACGUG